ACCUACCUUGUUAUGAACACCACUGUCCGGUCUUAAUAGAGAUGUCAGAUAAAGAAUUUAAUUAAUCACUGACACGCUCACCAAACAGGAUGUUAUCUUUGUUUCUUGUUUCAUGACAAGAUGUGCUGCCACUCCAACAGGGAGGUGCAAAGCCCAAUGGGAUAUCUAAAAAUACGAGAGGACUGAAACAUGUCACGGCUCUGCUGGGAGGUGCCAGGUUGCCUGGGAGCUCUGGGGCUGCAGCAUGCUGUUCCUGUGUGCUGCAGCUACCGUGGAUACAGCAGACACAGCAGGGAAAUAUAUCACAGUCACCCACUUGGCUGCCGGCCAGAAAUAAUGGUAAGUUGUUUAAGAGAAGAAAAAAAAAGCUCUUUUCAUCAACUUUUCUGCAUUAGAAGAAUAACCAAAAUCCUACUGGGGGGGGUUCAAUAAAAAGCUCCUCGUCUUACCUGCUCCCAUGGAGUGUUGCAAGAAAAGCCCCCGUGCUGCUUUGUCCCAGCAAUGAGUCAUCAUGAUGGCACACAUUCCGCAGAACAAUGACGAGACAGCUUCUCUGGACAUUCAACAUGGGCAAAAGUUUUUUUUCCCCCAGGUAUUAAAAUACAGGUUUUACUCCAAAUAUUGUUCAAUCCAGAUUAUUUUGCGAAUCUAAUAAUUUGUAAAAACACGUUAAGUGUUCUCGGUGUAGGGAAAACAAACAACAAACAAACAUUAUUAGGUUUUAAUCCUUUGUUAAAUAUAGCUGC
Molecule: long non-coding RNA, 746 nt
Filed under: Oryzias sinensis (Chinese medaka)
Lineage: Eukaryota; Metazoa; Chordata; Actinopteri; Beloniformes; Adrianichthyidae
Description: lncRNA (ENSOSIG00000021003.1)
Source: RNAcentral